Molecule: ribosomal RNA, 570 nt
Filed under: uncultured bacterium
Lineage: Bacteria
Description: bacterial SSU rRNA
Rfam family: Bacterial small subunit ribosomal RNA
Source: RNAcentral
GCCAUGCCGCGUGGAGGAUGAAGGUCCUCUGGAUUGUAAACUUCUUUUAUUUGGGAAGAAACCCACGGUUUCUACUGUGGUUGACGGUACCAGAUGAAUAAGCACCGGCUAACUCCGUGCCAGCAGCCGCGGUAAUACGGAGGGUGCGAGCGUUAUCCGGAUUCACUGGGUUUAAAGGGUGCGUAGGCGGGCAGGUAAGUCAGUGGUGAAAUCCCCGAGCUUAACUUGGGAACUGCCGUUGAUACUAUCUGUCUUGAAUGCUGUGGAGGUAAGCGGAAUAUGUCAUGUAGCGGUGAAAUGCUUAGAUAUGACAUAGAACACCUAUUGCGAAGGCAGCUUGCUACACAGCUAUUGACGCUGAGGCACGAAAGCGUGGGGAUCAAACAGGAUUAGAUACCCUGGUAGUCCACGCCCUAAACGAUGGAUACUCGACAUCAGCGAUACACUGUUGGUGUCUGAGCGAAAGCAUUAAGUAUCCCACCUGGGAAGUACGACCGCAAGGUUGAAACUCAAAGGAAUUGGCGGGGGUCCGCACAAGCGGUGGAGCAUGUGGUUUAAUUCGAUGAAUAC